AGGUCCUGUCUUCAGUUGCCUCUCAUUUGGAUGUUUAACUGCGUUGGUGGACCAGCCAAGCGAGAAGUCGCAGUCGGAGAAAUCAUGUGUGAUGACUUCGAAUGGAGAUGGACAGACCGAGCUGAACGCAGGACCAAAGGGGAGAGCUGCAUCAGGAGCCAAAGCCAAACGAGACAUGGAUGUUACUUUUUACUGUCAGUCCCAGUCGCACUCGUAGUCGGAGCUGGAAUAGAGGUAGCGAUUCCCCCACUCGCUUUUCCAGUGACAGUUGUACAAGAAAUACAAAUUUGCAAAAUAAGCACAGGGCCAGACCCGGCCAUUUUGAGAUAAAUGGCGACAUGCAAAAGGAAGUGUCAACUGAUUGCGCUGAGCUAGGCAGUCGUAAAAAACAGGACGACGACAACGAAUCGUCCUCGUCUCGAAUCCUGCGCGUGACGUAUUCGCCUUGUUGUGCGUGUGAUGAACCGUUCUGAUCUGGGGGAAACGGGGCAAUAAAACACAAUAAAAAGAAAUUAUGAAUAAAUAAUGUGCAAAGUAGCAAUAGCUCAGAACACAAAAAAUUGAAUGCAAAGCGGCGUCAUCUGUUUGUGAUUUAUAUAGUUUUUAAUAUUUGACUGGGAGACAUCCGCUGCGUCAUAGCCACCCGAAGACAGACAGAUAGACAGCCUGGCGACCCUGCUUUUUCCUACAUUUUCCGAGAACCCCCACAAUUUGAUAUUCAUGCGACGAAAAUCAGCCAAACAAAAUCAGCCCCCAUAGGCGAGCAUUUGUUCGCCAAUUUCAGAUGUGGUUCAACUCAGCCCUGCUCUAAAAUGCUCAGUCCCCGCCUUGAAAGGAUUCGCAGGCCAGCCAAAAAUUCUCAUUAGCAGCUGCUCAGUGACAAGAGAAGAAAAGAAGACCGCUUGAAAGUCGCUCUAAUGAAAUGUUUGCUCGCCACUCGUGUCACUCGCGCAUCCGUUUGUCCAAGCAGCAAGGAGGAAAUGGGUGGCAGCCGGAAGUGGCGUCGAAUGGAGCGGAAUCCUGCUUCCGGCCGAAAUUUGCGACUUGAUUAGCCUUAAUUAAAUUCCACCAGGUUGCUGCCAUUGUCAAUAAAUUGAGCCUUAUAAGCUUCUAUUCAGAA
Drosophila santomea is the source of this 1120-nucleotide long non-coding RNA. RefSeq lists it as uncharacterized. Lineage: Eukaryota; Metazoa; Arthropoda; Insecta; Diptera; Drosophilidae. The transcript is spliced from 2 exons. The record is from RefSeq and is a predicted model, not a curated record.